AUGCGUAUCCUUCAGGACAACUCAAGCCCCUCCUCCUCUCCUGUACAUGAAUGUGAGAUGCUGCGCAUGCAAGAUCUGAGCCAAAUGGCAUAUUGUAAUCUUUUUAUUGCUGGUUUUUAUGUACAAUGUCAUGAAGAUGUACGUUUGAAAUGUUGCUUUGAUAGCAAAAUUGUAUUCCUGUGUACAUGCUGCUUUGACAGCAAAAUUAUGAGAAUUUCUCAACAAUAUAUAUGGGCAAAAUUGUAUUCCUGUGUACUGCACCUGAAAAGGCUACAGCCAAUUGAUGAUGUUGCUGUGGAAUUGUUUAGUUUAUUUUAA
Molecule: ribosomal RNA, 318 nt
Filed under: Triticum aestivum (bread wheat)
Lineage: Eukaryota; Viridiplantae; Streptophyta; Magnoliopsida; Poales; Poaceae
Description: partial small subunit ribosomal RNA
Source: RNAcentral